This 275-nucleotide ribosomal RNA is filed under the name uncultured bacterium. RNAcentral's name for it is "partial 16S ribosomal RNA". It matches the Rfam family "Bacterial small subunit ribosomal RNA", at positions 399 to 691 of the family's 1533-position model. The record is from RNAcentral.
GCGUGAGUGAUGAAGGCCUUAGGGUUGUAAAGCUCUUUUACCCGGGAUGAUAAUGACAGUACCGGGAGAAUAAGCCCCGGCUAACUCCGUGCCAGCAGCCGCGGUAAUACGGAGGGGGCUAGCGUUGUUCGGAAAUACUGGGCGUAAAGCGCACGUAGGCGGCCUGGCAAGUCAGGGGUGAAAUCCCGGAGCUCAACUCCGGAACUGCCCUUGAAACUGCCAAGCUAGAAUCUUGGAGAGGUCAGUGGAAUUCCGAGUGUAGAGGUGAAAUUCGU